RNAcentral lists this transfer RNA (69 nucleotides) under Stenamma muralla. Its description in RNAcentral is "tRNA-Val". The record is from RNAcentral. Lineage: Eukaryota; Metazoa; Arthropoda; Insecta; Hymenoptera; Formicidae.
UAAAUUUUAGUUUAAGUAAAAUAGUUCAUUUACAUUGAAAAGUUUUUAAUAGAAAGGUAAAAAAUUUAA